This 232-nucleotide long non-coding RNA is filed under the name Elaeis guineensis (African oil palm). Its description in RNAcentral is "long non-coding RNA (EGUI_LNC048959)". Lineage: Eukaryota; Viridiplantae; Streptophyta; Magnoliopsida; Arecales; Arecaceae. The record is from RNAcentral.
CUCCUACAAUGGACCAAUUGUCACCAACAUCCACUAUAAGAUCUCAUCAAAAUCAUAUUUAUAUGUCAGUCAAACUCCAGUAGUCUCACUAUGAGUAAUCAUACCAUCGUAGAUCAAAAAAUUAUUUACAUAACUAUAGCAUCGAGAUGAUCACUGAUGAUUGAGUAGAAAUUCAAAUGAUCUCUCGUAUGGUCAUGCUCAGUACUAGUUGUUCUCUAACAACUAUCCACAC